AUGCAUCUCACCUGUUUGACAUACCUGGAGCAGUUAAUGUCUGCUGCAGAGGUUUCCACUAUUGAUGCAAGAAGGAAGUGUUCUUGCACUUUCUGUCUGAUUGUGGCAGUCAAGAUUGCAUAAGGAAAUACAGGA
RNAcentral lists this small nucleolar RNA (135 nucleotides) under Microcebus murinus (gray mouse lemur). RNAcentral's name for it is "Small nucleolar RNA SNORA31 (ENSMICG00000024964.3)". It matches the Rfam family "Small nucleolar RNA SNORA31". Rfam says of the family: ACA31 (SNORA31) belongs to the H/ACA class of snoRNAs which are thought to guide the sites of modification of uridines to pseudouridines. ACA31 is predicted to guide the pseudouridylation of U3713 in 28S rRNA and U218 in 18S rRNA. The record is from Rfam by way of RNAcentral. Lineage: Eukaryota; Metazoa; Chordata; Mammalia; Primates; Cheirogaleidae.